AAGCUCUGUCGGGAGGGACGAAGGGGGCUAGCGUUGUUCGGAAUUACUGGGCGUAAAGCGCACGUAGGCGGAUUGGUCAGUUAGGGGUGAAAUCCCGGAGCUCAACUCCGGAACUGCCUUUAAUACUGCCAAUCUAGAGACCGAGAGAGGUAAGUGGAACUCCUAGUGUAGAGGUGGAAUUCGUAGAUAUUAGGAAGAACACCAGUGGCGAAGGCGGCUUACUGGCUCGGAACUGACGCUGAGGUGCGAAAGCGUGGGGAGC
Molecule: ribosomal RNA, 262 nt
Filed under: uncultured bacterium
Lineage: Bacteria
Description: partial 16S ribosomal RNA
Rfam family: Bacterial small subunit ribosomal RNA
Source: RNAcentral